This is a long non-coding RNA of Drosophila mauritiana, 298 nucleotides long. RefSeq lists it as uncharacterized. The transcript is spliced from 3 exons. NCBI's taxonomy places the organism in Eukaryota, Metazoa, Arthropoda, Insecta, Diptera, Drosophilidae. The record is from RefSeq and is a predicted model, not a curated record.
GUUGAACUUUUACUAAUACCGAACCCCUUAUCGACAAGAAGACCUUCUUCGAGAGCCAACAUUGGCUUAGAACUUCAAUGUGCUCAGAAUUUAAAGCCAUCUAAUGUAACGCGAACCUUGACGGACUACACUGAGAGAAGACUUUAUUAGCAUCUAAUCCUGUAAAUUCGUAUCCGCACACUACCACUGCAAAUGCCAUCUUAGAAAUAAACAGGAAAUAGGAAAGCUUCGAAAAAAAACUUAAAAUGAAUAUAGAAUUUUUAUCAAUUAAAUUAGAAUAAGUAAUAUAGAUUAGAAA